RNAcentral lists this ribosomal RNA (445 nucleotides) under uncultured bacterium. RNAcentral describes it as "bacterial SSU rRNA". It matches the Rfam family "Bacterial small subunit ribosomal RNA", at positions 330 to 792 of the family's 1533-position model. The record is from RNAcentral.
GCCAGACUCCUACGGGAGGCAGCAGUGGGGAAUAUUGCACAAUGGGGGAAACCCUGAUGCAGCGACGCCGCGUGAGUGAAGAAGUAUUUCGGUAUGUAAAGCUCUAUCAGCAGGGAAGAAAAUGACGGUACCUGACUAAGAAGCUCCGGCUAAAUACGUGCCAGCAGCCGCGGUAAUACGUAUGGAGCAAGCGUUAUCCGGAAUUACUGGGUGUAAAGGGAGCGUAGACGGAUGUGCAGGUCUGAUGUGAAAGGCGGGGGCUCAACCCCUGGACUGCAUUGGAAACUGUAAAUCUUGAGUGCCGGAGAGGUAAGCGGAAUUCCUAGUGUAGCGGUGAAAUGCGUAGAUAUUAGGAGGAACACCAGUGGCGAAGGCGGCUUACUGGACGGUAACUGACGUUGAGGCUCGAAAGCGUGGGGAGCAAACAGGAUUAGAUACCCUGGUA